GUAGUUCAGUUGGUUAGAAUACCGGCCUGUCACGCCGGGGGUCGCGGGUUCGAGCCCCGUC
This 61-nucleotide transfer RNA is filed under the name Burkholderiaceae bacterium. RNAcentral's name for it is "tRNA-Asp". It matches the Rfam family "tRNA", at positions 7 to 64 of the family's 71-position model. Rfam says of the family: Transfer RNA (tRNA) molecules are approximately 80 nucleotides in length. Their secondary structure includes four short double-helical elements and three loops (D, anti-codon, and T loops). The record is from RNAcentral. Lineage: Bacteria; Pseudomonadati; Pseudomonadota; Betaproteobacteria; Burkholderiales; Burkholderiaceae. RNAcentral also lists the same sequence under 1 other name.